Molecule: ribosomal RNA, 253 nt
Filed under: uncultured bacterium
Lineage: Bacteria
Description: partial 16S ribosomal RNA
Rfam family: Bacterial small subunit ribosomal RNA
Source: RNAcentral
UACGAAGGGUGCUAGCGUUGUUCGGAAUUACUGGGCGUAAAGCGCGCGUAGGCGGCUAUCCAAGUCAGAGGUGAAAUCCCGGAGCUCAACUCCGGAACUGCCUUUGAAACUGUAUAGCUGGAGUGUGUGAGGGGAUGGCGGAAUUCCUAAUGUAGAGGUGAAAUUCGUAGAUAUCUGGAGGAACACCGGUGGCGAAAGCGACUCACUGGACCGACACUGACGCUGAGGUGCGAAAGCUAGGGUAGCAAACGGG